GUAAAACAAUCACCUGUGUGGAGUUGAUUGUCGUAGAGCAGAUGAAUAAAUACAGGGCUCGUCUCAAGGACAUCAACAGCCUGGAGUUUGCUGAGAACAAAGCAAAAAGCAGGCCGUCUUUGAUCCGCAGAUCAAUGACUCAGGAAACUUUUCAUCAGUUUGGAUCUCUGAUUGGAGCAAUAGCACCAUACAGCUGUGAUUCACUGGCCACGUCUCGUCAGUGGGUGUUUGACUGUAUCAGCUGCCUUCUCUGUAUACAAGGCCAGCCCAUGAACCUGGGGUCAGCGGAAGAGGAGCUGAGAUGUCUCCGUGAAGAACUAACAGCAGCUCCGGACCCCGAGGCUCUGUUUCAGGCAUCUUCCAAAAUGGCCAGGGUUGUUAGUGAGUACUUUCCCCCAGAACAGGCCACAGCCUUUAUUGAGGCCACAGUGGAAAGUAUGCUGUCUGCCAGCCCCACCUGUGCCACGGCAGCUGGACUGUGGAUGAAGGUUAUACUGAAGGAGUGUGGAGAUGCCAUGCUUGAUAAGGUGCCAGCUAUUGUGGAUAUAAUAUAUAGCCACAUGGCUACUAUCCAGGAGGGCAGCUUGAGGCAAUUCCUGCUGGAGGCAGUGUCUAUUUUAGCUCACCAUCACCUAGAGGCAGUGAUCUCCAGCCUACUCAGCAACCAUCUGCCGAUGGACAGUUACACCAGUGAGCUGUGGAGAUCUCUGGGGGGAGACCCCUUGCUUGCCACUCAGGUCCUACAGGUCCUAAUAGAAAAAAUAAAGACGUCAACAAGCCAAGAAGAAAGCAUCACCUCAGAGACUGAAACUGACAGGCAUUUGGCAGCUGCUGAACCUCUCUCAGCAACAUGUGCCAUCUUUGAGGUGGUGUCAGCACAGCAGUCGAGCAAAGCUGUGCAGGAGCUGCUCCCAGAGUUGUUUCCUGUUCUCCUGCAGCAGGUCAGCCGAACCUCAGGACAAAAGAUGCCUUUGCCAAGGAUAAGAAGCCGGAGCCUAUUCCAAAAAGACCAACAACAUACUGAGGGCAACCCUUGCCGGUUUUCUGUCCAAGCGUUAGAAUCUGUGCUUUCUAAAGCUGGGAAUGAGAGACUGGUGAGAGUGCUCAGGACGCAGAAAACAUGGAUUCUGCUUGAAAACCCCCAGACUCACCAUGAGGGAGUGUGUCUGCUGGUGAGUGGUCUGCUAAGAUUUGGACUAAUAACACUUGAGAUCAUCCAGAGCCUCCUCCCCUGGGUGAAUUCCCCAAUGGAAAACUUCCGAGUCACCGGCACAGCUUUCCUUGCCCAGCUAAUGACUGAUCCCAUGCUCAGGGAGAAGAAGUUGCUUAAGAGUGUCUUGCGCAUCUUGGAAGAAAGGUCACAGGAUAGGAACAGCAUUGUCCGUCAGAUGGCUGUAAGAGGCCUGGGAAAUAUAGUCAAUGGGGCGCCUGUGAAGGUGAAAAAAUACAAGAAGUUUCUUCUGGACAUACUGAUCGGGGCCUUACAUGACGUUUUCAGUUCUGAAGUGAUUGGUGAGAGCAUGAAAGCACUGGCCAAAGUCCUGAAGGAGCUGAAAGAGAAGGACAUUGGUUCUUCCUUCAAAAACCUCACCGAACAGAUCCGGGCCUACUUUGACGAUGAGAAUGAUGGUCUUCGCUCAGUGGCCUUUGUCCUAUUUGGCAUCCUGGCUCAGUUGACAAAGAAAAAAUGGAAGGCCUAUUUCGCUGAGCAGGUUCGAAAGAGCUGGGUCAUACUUCUGCUGCACCUGCAAGACCCAAGCCCCGAGGUUUCAAUGGAAUGCAGAGCUACAUUUCACCUCUGUUUCCCGUUUUUGGGACUGAAGAGACUCCAACAUGCGAUCAAUAAGCACCUUGGUGGCAGAGCCGAGCUGAAGCCUGAAGAGCUCCAGGUGGACAUUUGCAGACACCUUGCCAAAGAAAAUGCAGAACUGCUGAAGAACUUGUAUAGCACAACCAUCGCGUCCUUCAGUAGCAGCUGGGAAGGGAUCCGGGCAGGUGCCGCCAACUUAGCUGGCAUCAUCCUGGAACACACAGACACUCAGCGUAUGAAAUGGCUGGACCUGGAACAUCUGCUGAUGUCUCUCCGGGUCCUAGAGAAAGACCCAAGUCCCACUGUCCAGCUGGUGGCAACUGAGCUCAUAAGUGACAUCUGUCCUGGCCGAGCGCUUGGCGAAUGAAGCAGAACGGAGACAAACAGAACAAGGCGCUCCAGUGGUAUAAGGGCCCUACCAUCAAUCAAAUGUUAAUCCCACCCCUUGACCCCGGCAGCAAGAUGUGUCAUGUGACCCCUCUAAGAACUCCUCCCACUGCCAUCUACCGAUCAGGGUGGGUUUCGCCCCAAUAGGAAUGCCCCGAGGGAAGACUUGACCAAUCAAGGGGAGUUCCGGGGCAGGUGACCUGUCCUUUGUGUGACCCCUCUAAGAACUCCUCCCACUGCCAUCUACCGAUCAGGGUGGGUUUCAGCCACUGGGGAUCACUCCAAGAGGAGAUUUGACCAACUGGGGGGAAUUCUGGGGUGGGGUGACCCAUCCGGAAGUGCUUCAUGUGACCCUUCUAGGAACUCCUCUCACCACCCUUUACCAGUUGCGAUGGGUUUCAGCUGCAGAGGACUGCCCCAAGAGGAGAGUUGACCAAAACAAGGUAGGUUCUCGGAAGGGGUGAACCUCCCAGAAGAGGGUUGUGUGACCCCUCUAAGAACUCCUUCCAAUGCCCUCUGCCAAUCAGAGUGCAGCACAUCACCUCAUAAGUCCCAGCGCUGGGCAGAGGAGGCCAUCUCUUACCAAGAAGACGUGUUUUAUGAAUUGUGGAAAGGCUGAGAGGAGACAUGGACUCCUUUACCACUCCCCUGAGAACUUCAGACUUUGUUUUAGCCCCGAGGACCUUUGGGCUUGUAUGGAUAAAGCGCUAUAGCAGUUACAGUUCCGAGGAGGGCCCUUUGACUCGACCAUUGAUAGAUACCUCAGGACCCGACCCCGAACCCUCAUGAAGAACCCCGAUGAGUGUGAUGACCCCCCCCCAAAGUGGGAAGAUGAUCAUGGCUUGGGGGAGUCACUGGUGGACAAGGUGAACGGGAAAGACGUUGCUCAGCUCGACGAUGCCUUUCAAGAGGCCUUUGAGAACUUACACAUCGGUAGCCCUGUUGUGCAUCAGCUGUUUUUGCUCCUGUCUGAGAUGCGGAUCUCAAGAGGAAAAUCCGGAAAAGGACAAAAUAGAAGAAUGAACCAGCUCAGAGUCUUUCGUUGUAGGGGUCAUGGCGUCCAUUUUUACAGGUGGCUGUCAAAGGUUGUGUUAAACCAGGCAAUUAAUUAAACUUAUUUAAAUGUGUCCCUAUGACUGUAUCCCCUCCAUACUUGUGUUAGUAAAAGACGGUACCUGUGGGGUUGUUUUGGUGAGAGUGUGGGAAGCUAGAUAUGCAGACUCAAGGACGGGCUAGUUCUCAUCUGCUAGCAGGCAGUAAACAGGAUAAUAAAUUAGAAGGUUGCAUAGAAUGGCAAUUAUCCAAUGAAGUUACAGCUGUGCUUGUGUGUACCUUAUUAACCAAUUAGCAAUUGCUUGAUUGCCUGGCC
Mauremys mutica (yellowpond turtle) is the source of this 3566-nucleotide RNA transcript. It is a transcript of the gene named maestro heat-like repeat-containing protein family member 2B, with no coding region annotated. The transcript has 18 exons. The record is from RefSeq and is a predicted model, not a curated record. NCBI's taxonomy places the organism in Eukaryota, Metazoa, Chordata, Testudines, Geoemydidae.